UUCCCGGUAGUGUAAUGGUAGCACCACAGACUCUGGAUCUGUUUGUGGGGGUUCGAGUCCUCCCCGGGAAG
This 71-nucleotide transfer RNA is filed under the name Spirochaetales bacterium. Its description in RNAcentral is "tRNA-Gln". It matches the Rfam family "tRNA". Rfam says of the family: Transfer RNA (tRNA) molecules are approximately 80 nucleotides in length. RNAcentral also lists the same sequence under 2 other names. The record is from RNAcentral. Lineage: Bacteria; Pseudomonadati; Spirochaetota; Spirochaetia; Spirochaetales.